ACGGUACCUGCAGAAGAAGGUGCGGCCAACUACGUGCCAGCAGCCGCGGUGACACGUAGGCACCAAGCGUUGUCCGGAUUUAUUGGGCGUAAAGAGCUCGUAGGCGGUUCAGUAAGUCGGGUGUGAAAACUCCAAGCUCAACUUGGAGACGCCACUCGAUACUGCUGUGACUUGAGUUCGGUAGGGGAGCGGGGAAUUCCUGGUGUAGCGGUGAAAUGCGCAGAUAUCAGGAGGAACACCGGUGGCGAAGGCGCCGCUCUGGGCCGAAACUGACGCUGAGGAGCGAAAGCGUGGGUAGCAAACAGGAUUAGAUACCCUGGUAGUCCACGCCGUAAACGUUGGGCACUAGGUGUGGGCUCUAACCAACGGAGUCCGUGCCGUCGCUAACGCAUUAAGUGCCCCGCCUGGGGAGUACGGCCGCAAGGUUAAAACUCAAAGGAAUUGACGGGGGCCCGCACAAGCAGCGGAGCGUGUUGCUUAAUUCGAUGCUACGCGAAGAACCUUACCUGGGUUUGACAUGCUGGGAAAAGCCACAGAGAUGUGGUGUCCUUCGGG
RNAcentral lists this ribosomal RNA (555 nucleotides) under uncultured bacterium. RNAcentral describes it as "bacterial SSU rRNA". It matches the Rfam family "Bacterial small subunit ribosomal RNA", at positions 472 to 1024 of the family's 1533-position model. The record is from RNAcentral.